This 473-nucleotide ribosomal RNA is filed under the name Escherichia coli. Its description in RNAcentral is "bacterial LSU rRNA". It matches the Rfam family "Bacterial large subunit ribosomal RNA", at positions 553 to 1027 of the family's 2925-position model. The record is from RNAcentral. Lineage: Bacteria; Pseudomonadati; Pseudomonadota; Gammaproteobacteria; Enterobacterales; Enterobacteriaceae.
AAACCGUGUACGUACAAGCAGUGGGAGCCUCUUUAUGGGGUGACUGCGUACCUUUUGUAUAAUGGGUCAGCGACUUAUAUUCUGUAGCAAGGUUAACUGAAUAGGGGAGCCGAAGGGAAACCGAGUCUUAACUGGGCGUUAAGUUGCAGGGUAUAGACCCGAAACCCGGUGAUCUAGCCAUGGGCAGGUUGAAGGUUGGGUAACACUAACUGGAGGACCGAACCGACUAAUGUUGAAAAAUUAGCGGAUGACUUGUGGCUGGGGGUGAAAGGCCAAUCAAACCGGGAGAUAGCUGGUUCUCCCCGAAAGCUAUUUAGGUAGCGCCUCGUGAAUUCAUCUCCGGGGGUAGAGCACUGUUUCGGCAAGGGGGUCAUCCCGACUUACCAACCCGAUGCAAACUGCGAAUACCGGAGAAUGUUAUCACGGGAGACACACGGCGGGUGCUAACGUCCGUCGUGAAGAGGGAAACAACC